Molecule: ribosomal RNA, 269 nt
Filed under: uncultured prokaryote
Description: partial 16S ribosomal RNA
Rfam family: Bacterial small subunit ribosomal RNA
Source: RNAcentral
UACGGAGGAUGCGAGCGUUAUCCGGAUUUAUUGGGUUUAAAGGGUGCGUAGGCGGUUUGUCGCGUCUGCUGUGAAAGCCCAGGGCUUAACCCUGGGUUUGCAGUGGGUACGGGCAGGCUGGAGUGCAGUAGGGGAGACUGGAAUUCCUGGUGUAGCGGUGAAAUGCGCAGAUAUCAGGAGGAACACCGAUGGCGAAGGCAGGUCUCUGGGCUGUUACUGACGCUGAGGAGCGAAAGCAUGGGGAGCGAACAGGAUUAGAUACCCCUGUA